GACGAACGCUGGCGGCGUGCCUAAUACAUGCAAGUCGAGCGAAGUUUUUCUGGUGCUUGCACCGGAAAAACUUAGCGGCGAACGGGUGAGUAACACGUAAAGAACCUGCCUCAUAGACUGGGACAACUAUUGGAAACGAUAGCUAAUACCGGAUAACAGCAUUAACUGCAUGGUUGAUGUUUAAAAGUUGGUUUUGCUAACACUAUGAGAAGGCUUUGCGGUGCAUUAGCUAGUUGGUGGGGUAAAGGCCUACCAAGGCGACGAUGCAUAGCCGACCUGAGAGGGUGAUCGGCCACACUGGGACUGAGACACGGCCCAGACUCCUACGGGAGGCAGCAGUAGGGAAUCUUCCGCAAUGGGCGAAAGCCUGACGGAGCAACGCCGCGUGAGUGAAGAAGGAUUUCGGUUCGUAAAGCUCUGUUGUUAGGGAAGAAUGAUUGUGUAGUAACUAUACACAGUAGAGACGGUACCUAACCAGAAAGCCACGGCUAACUACGUG
Molecule: ribosomal RNA, 499 nt
Filed under: uncultured bacterium
Lineage: Bacteria
Description: partial 16S ribosomal RNA
Rfam family: Bacterial small subunit ribosomal RNA
Source: RNAcentral